Molecule: small RNA, 829 nt
Filed under: Pan troglodytes (chimpanzee)
Lineage: Eukaryota; Metazoa; Chordata; Mammalia; Primates; Hominidae
Description: retained intron
Source: RNAcentral
GGUGCACUGUGGACGAUGAGUCAGGGCUAGGGGCGCCAGGACUUGGGCGUGCAGGACGCCAGGACUUGGGCGUGCAGGACGCCAGAGCUGGGUCAGAACUCGAGCCAGCGGCGCCCGGAGAGAUUCGGAGAUGCAGGCGGCUCGGAUGGCCGCGAGCUUGGGGCGGCAGCUGCUGAGGCUCGGGGGCGGAAGGUCUGUGUGUGACAAGAGGGACGGUGGGCAGCGGCCCUGGGCACCGGGCCGGGACUGAACCCCCACUCCCCACAGCUCGCGGCUCACGGCGCUCCUGGGGCAGCCCCGGCCCGGCCCUGCCCGGCGGCCCUAUGCCGGGGGUGCCGCUCAGGUAAGUCACCGCAGCCUUGGCAAGGGGGUGUGGGAGCGGUGGUCCGCUUCGGCGCCCGCCUCCCGCCGUCGGCAGGGAUCUCCCUCUUGGUGCCAGGUACCUGCCUACUGCUCUGUCGCCGAAAGUAGGGGAAAGGGCAAGCCAGGGUGCCCUAGGGCGAAACUAGGGGAAAGGUCACCGCUUCGCGCCGCCUCCCCGCGCGGCUCUCGCCUGUGCUCCCCUUGACACAGCGGAAGUCCCUUCCCUGGACUUGCUAACCGUCUCUUUUCCCAGCUGGCUCUGGACAAGUCAGAUUCCCACCCCUCUGACGCUCUGACCAGGAAAAAAUCGGCCAAGGCGGUAGGUAGCCCCGAGGCCAGGUGGACCUUAGCCAGACCCAACCAGAGCCCUGAAAUUCGCCUCUCUCUGCCCAGGAAUCUAAGUCCUUUGCUGUGGGAAUGUUCAAAGGCCAGCUCACCACAGAUCAGGUGUUCCCAUACCCGUCCG